RNAcentral lists this ribosomal RNA (468 nucleotides) under uncultured bacterium. Its description in RNAcentral is "partial 16S ribosomal RNA". It matches the Rfam family "Bacterial small subunit ribosomal RNA", at positions 28 to 507 of the family's 1533-position model. The record is from RNAcentral.
GACGAACGCUGGCGGCGUGCUUAACACAUGCAAGUCGAACGGAAAGGCCCUGCUUUUGUGGGGUGCUCGAGUGGCGAACGGGUGAGUAACACGUGAGUAACCUGCCCUUGACUUUGGGAUAACUUCAGGAAACUGGGGCUAAUACCGGAUAGGAGCUCCUGCUGCAUGGUGGGGGUUGGAAAGUUUCGGCGGUUGGGGAUGGACUCGCGGCUUAUCAGCUUGUUGGUGGGGUAGUGGCUUACCAAGGCUUUGACGGGUAGCCGGCCUGAGAGGGUGACCGGCCACAUUGGGACUGAGAUACGGCCCAGACUCCUGCGGGAGGCAGCAGUGGGGAAUAUUGCACAAUGGGCGGAAGCCUGAUGCAGCAACGCCGCGUGCGGGAUGACGGCCUUCGGGUUGUUAACCGCUUUCGCCUGUGACGAAGCGUGAGUGACGGUAAUGGGUAAAGAAGCACCGGCUAACUACGUG